Molecule: long non-coding RNA, 6042 nt
Organism: Rhineura floridana
Lineage: Eukaryota; Metazoa; Chordata; Lepidosauria; Squamata; Rhineuridae
Exons: 2
Source: RefSeq, a predicted model, not a curated record
CAUGGACCAGUCAUAUGCUGCUGCUAGUUUGCCUAACUGCUGAGUCUUAUUCUGAGGCUUAUCUGAGCCCUCCUGGACCUCAACUGGCUGACUGGAUCAUGCUCCGACUUAAAGCCACGUCAUUCAACCAAAUAUGUACUGAAUGGAUCCAUGUGGAGUUUGGCACAUUCUGAAAUCAUCAUAGGAUUGCUCAGUAAACACUCUGCUUGCAGCUCACCCUACAGCUACCAUGCCAAUGAAGAACUGCCAAUGCUGGGUUUAAUUAACAGUAAACAUGGGUGGAGAUUACAUAGCAAAGUAAUCACCCCACCUGCUUCACCAAAUGUGAAUCAGUGAUUAACACUGAUUACGUGUUUUUCUAGAACUUUAUACAUAGCGGAUGAACUACUUUCUGAUCCAUCCCUGCCUACCUUUACUACUGAUAUAAAUGUCUUUUCUCAUCGGCUCAUCUGAUAUUGGUAGCAGAAUCCUGAGUAUAUGUGGGUGAACUUAAAAACAAGAGUCGCUGGAUUAGGCCAAAAGAUCCAUCUUCUAGUCCAAGGAUGGGGAACCUGAUGCCAUGAACCCAGGUUCAAAUCCUUCCUCGGCUUUGAAGCUCACCGAGUAGCCUUGGUCAAGUUACUGGGAUAUGGCAUGGGAAAUAACCAUGUUGCUGGCUCUGUCCUUUUGGUCCACGUCCUUGAAACAUUACUGGAGGGCCAGGAGAAAAGUCGUGCCAUUGUGGCUCCCGUACGACUGCUGAUAGCCUACUAAUCUAGUCUUUAGAUUAAUCAAAUUCUUUAGAUAGUGAUUGGAAGUGGUCUCACUAACAAAAAGGUGUCUGUGCAUGUAUUCUAUUUUUAUGUGAAUCUUCUGUGUGUAAUAUGUAUAUGUUCAUGCAUAUACACCCACACCCAUCCUCGUAGCAAAUCUGUUCAAAGAAUUUGAUUUCCCGCAUUGAACAUGCAUUGCAAAGUUCUAUUACACCACUGGCUUCCACUUUUAGAUGCAUUUUUGAACACCUUUCUAUCUUCCAGGCUUUUCUUUGUUGAACCAAAUAAAGCAUUUGCGUAUGGGUGUAACUGUUCUGUCCCUGAGGAGCAAGAGGAUCCUUGAGGGAUGCUUUUGUGUAAUAUGUUUUGUGUGGAACAGAAAUGACGUACACAUGAGAGAAGGUCAAAAUUGACCUUUAGUUGCUGGCUUAGUUCUGUACAACAGACACAGCAGGACUGCUGGUUCUCUGUUUAAAUCAGACUUCCUCCUGGGAAGUAAAAUGCUUGGUUACAAACCCCUGGGGAAUAAUUCAAAAGUGGAGCUGGACUCUUCUAAUGUUAUAAAGCCCUCAGUUAGCCUUCAUAUGAAGAGGGGGGAAAUCCUGAUUCAGUUUUGAGUGCUCUUUGUUAAGUGGAACUCCAGUUGAUUUCCUCUCGAUAUGAUAGUCUGUUCAUUACAGAGACUGUCAUCUAUACCCUCUUUUCAAUCUCUCUGGGGUAUCUGGAUGUUCGAUAACAAGAACUGAAGAGUCCCAGCAUAAGCAGCUCAAGAUUCAUUCUUUUGAUAAUGCAGCUUAAAGUUACUUUGCCCAGUUUCAAUUUCUAUUGAAAACAACACGAUGCUUCUAUUUGAUUUCUCUUUUUUAGACCGUAAAAAGUCUAGCUUCUCUUUUUCAACCAUUCUAGCUUCAGAGUGACAGUUGCCUUCAGUCUGAAGUAGCACUGAGCAUUUCCUACUAUUCAAAAGUGUUGUCACUUGGAUUGAGGCUAGCCAGCAACCUGAGUAAAUGCCACCUCUAUCAUGGAUUCAUCAUAUGACCUUGGGAAAGUCUAUGUGUGUAUGUAGUCAUCUUUGAGGCCACUAACUUUAUAUAAAGUUUGCAAUAAAUGGUUUACAAUAAGCAGUUGACAACAGCAAUAUUGCAACAGCAACAUGCCUCUGCUAAAUAGUCCAGGGUAAAAUGGUGCCUCAGUGCUGGCUGAGGCUGAGAGUAAUUGUAAUCCUAAACAUCUGGAAGGCUUCAGGUUGGGGAAGGCUAAUUUAGACCAUAUCUGGAGCUUUUAAAGUCCCAUUUGAAAACCAUUUCAAAUCAGCAGCUAUGCACAUAGAUUGUGCCACUUCAGAAUGCAGUUACUUUUUAUGAUUCCCCCCUGCCCAGAUUUUUAACUUUUGCGGGAGCUUCUAGAGAGCUUGCUUUAAAAGAUUUUUUUCCCUUAAAACAAAAGUAUUGCUUUUCAGACUACAUUCCAGGAAACUGUAGUGUUCCUUGGGAGCUUAUUAUUUAUUCCUCAAUGGAAAGAUCUGUAAUUGUAGAUAGGAUUUCCUGAAAAAGUUUGCUCAUCUCUCUUCUUAAAAGGUAUAUCCCACCUUGAGCUCCAUGGAGCUCAAAGCGGUGGUGUAAAUGAUUCUUCCCACAACUGAAUGGCGAUUUGAACCUCUCCUCCCUCCUCUUUUACUCUAAUCACUGCCCUAAUUGGCUUCCUCUACAAGCCAUAGCUUCAGGCAUGUAUUGGGUGUAUUCUAGAGUGUACUCUCAGUUCAUGCAAGGUGAUAGUUAGACUCAAAACUCCAGCUAUUCUGCUGAAUAAUAUGGGGUAAACUACACAAUUAAUGCACAUGUGUGGAAGUAAACCCUGAUGGCUCUUUUAUAAAAUGCAUAGUAAGUUUAAGAGAGUAUGAUUUUGGGUGGAGUGUGUAUGUAUGUGUGUGUAUGUACUUAAAAUCAUUUCCUUACUAGCCAUUUGUCUGAAUUAAGUAACCCCACUCCCCCAUUCCAGACAUGUUUUACUUUUAUCCAAGCAAAUAUGCAUCUGAAAUGCUAGGCAGUGACAGCAACUGUCUAGUUUAUUUGUGAUAAUACCUGCCAUUACUUGAAUAAUGUCUGUGAUCGUUCAUGGCAGAACAUGUGAAAUUACCUUAUACUGAACCACAUAAGUGAUCCAAACAGCCCAUUUUAUACUGACUGGCAGCAGUUUGAGUCAGGCUCUCAAGUAAAGUUUUUCCCCAGCACUUGCAACCUGAGAUCCUUCAGCAGUGAACGCUGACCCCUAAGUACAACCCAUUUCAAGUUUUCAGGUGGUAUCAUUCAAUGACAACAAAAAACUGCAUCAUAUCUCUUUAAAGACUUUUUGGAAAGCUUACUGGAAGAAUUUCAGAGAACUUACUGGAAAGUUGGUGCAGCUUCUGACCAUCCAAAGAGGGAAUGUGUGUCAUAAAGAUCUCCCAAAAAACUUUUAGAAUCUGGACAUAGUGUGUUUUGAAACAGAGAAUAAUCAGAAAUUCCUGAAAGUGAAAUACGAAAAAUUAAGAAUUAUUCCUGAGUAAAAUGUCCAGUCACAUUUGCUGUUAAUAUUAAAAAGCAUGUAAAGGUUAUUCAUAAGAAAUAAACUUGGAAGUUUUUGUUGUGUUGCUUGACGCAUUUGGCAACAACCAGAAGUGACUAGCAUCCGAACAAGGAAAAAAAGGAGGGCAAAAACCAAGAUGCUAGAAAAAUAAAUAUUUAUUGUGUAAUCAAACCCAACGCGUUUCAGCCUGUUGGUUUUCAGGCCUUCAUCAGGGGAAUGCAGGCUAACAAGAAGUAUCAUGAAAUGAGCAAAGGUGUCUAUAUUGUUGAAAGCGGUUUGCUCAUUUGAUGAUACUUCUCGCCAACCUGCAUUCCCCUGACAAAGGCCUGAAAACCAACAGGCUGAAAUUUGUCGGGUUUGAUUACACAAUAAAUAUUUAUUUUUCUAGCAUCUCGGUUUUUGCCCUCCUUUUUUGCUUGACGCAUUUGGCCAUAAUUACAUUUAUUCCCUUGAGUGUUCCUGCGUUGGGUUGUGGAAUAAUAAGGCCUGUAGGAUGUAGUUAUAUCUAUAAUACAGACUAGGAACACUAGUUUAUCUAAAACAUUUCUUUCUAAAUUUGAGCCAGAGUUGAAGUUCCAGGAAACAUAAUCUCAGGGGGGAAAGAAAAUUUAUAUUUUUCUUUCUUUUCAGCAUUUAAUGAGGCAAAUAAGCUUGUGUAACUACUUUUAUUGAGCAAGAAAUUACACAUUACCGCAUGUUUGAAAUUCAGAACUAUGAAAUGUUCCUUGUAGUUAUGAAUACACCCUGAAUGGUGUAUUUUACUAUCUUGCCAGAGCAGGAGCCUUCAUUUAUGGGAAAUAGAUGUAAUGGGUGGUAAAGAUUUGAAGGGAAAUUAUAUGCAUGUGGAAUAGCUUCAUUCAUAGUCUGUUUCCAUAUGACUUUGACUGGCUGUUGACCUGCAGCUUGGGAAAAACAGCUUCUGAAUUCAAUUACAAAAGAAAGUGAUAUUUCUUGGGACGAUAAAUUACUGCCAAAAACAGGAAGGGAGAAUGCAAAAUGAGAAAUUAACACGAAUGAAUUUAAGUUUUGUGAUUUUAAAUACUGCAUAAUGACCUUCACUUCUGCCUCAAUCAUCAUGUUUAUUUCUACAAUUACAUAUGAAUUUCCAGUCCUGUUUAAAAGGAUUUAUCAAAAAUUGUUUGCAGGGGCUAGUCUCGUACAUUUUGGACCCGUUUUUUCACUGGUUAAAAAAAGGAGAUGAAAUUACUUUCAUUUUAGACCAGAGAGUCAAAUCAUGGACCUUUAUGGUUUUUACAUAACUCAUCUGUGCACAGAGAACUAAUCUGUAAUUGUUGGUGAUUUUCAUAGGAUUCUGAUAGAAUAAAAAUUACAAGGAUCUGUGCCUUGAAUCCAUGUCUUUCUGCCACAGUGGCUUAGACAUGCUCUGGAUAGGUGAUCUUACAGCGCAAUCCGUAGAAAUCAAUGACUAGUGCUGGAUUUGUGAUAUUUGCAAAUAAUCAAUGGAGGCAGAUGCAUUCUGCAAUCUCAUAAUGGCUUAGGAGUAAUUUCAUGUAAAAAUCAUGCAACUUAUGUCCUCUCUUUUCCACAACCCAGAGCAGCAACUUUAUCACUGGCACCUGCAACAGUUUCUCAGAUAGAUUGGGGACCCCGUCUAUAUGUUUUUCUCAGUGAGCUAUAUUAAACUCAGUGUAGCUUACAUCUGAGUAGACAUGCAUAGUAUUGUAUUGCUAGCCCAAUGCAUAUGAACAAACCAUGACAUGAUGGCCACUUAAAGUGCUGGAAGGCUACCAAAGAGUUGUGCAUUAUAAAUUCAGUAGAUCUCUCAUUUCUCAUUUCCCCCUUCAACAUCAGCAAAGCUACUCCCAACCCCCAACUUUUACCAUUGUGCCAUUUCAGCCAUCAGUUUUCAUUGCAAAACAAAUGUUUAACUCACUUCAACUGAAAGCAAUGGAGUUACGAAUGCUUCACUCGGACUGGAUUGUGCUCUAUUUUAUUUAAAAGCUAAUUUGGACCAGUAUAAGCUAUGUUUAGUAUAGGUGUUAGAUGUUAGCCUUCAUAACAGCCAUUAGCAAGGAGAGCCAACAAUUUGGCUGCCCAUUAGCUACCAGGCUAAGUUUAAGAGUCUGGUUUUGGUGUACAAAGCCCUAUACAGCUUGGGACCAGGAAACCUGAAAUCGUCUUACCCCUAACUUUCCAACUCAUCAAAGAGUUUGUAUCUCAGAGAGGAGGUCAGGUCUCCUGCUCCCCUGGUGCAUUCACUAUAGCUGCCCAAUUUCCUGCUUUUUAAAGUUUGAUAGAAAUAUCUGUUGGCUAUAGGUACAUACCACAAGUUUUUUGCCUAUUAGUGAAUAUACCAGUAGAUCACUGCACUCUGCAGGUGAGGGCCUCCUGCAGAUAUCAUCUUAUCAGGAGAUCCAUUCUGCACAAGAUGGGAAGUGGAUCUUUAGUGUUGUGGCACCUACCCGUUGGAAUUUCCUCCCCUUAAAUAUUAGACAGUUGCCAUCUGUUAUCUUUUUGGCACCUUUUUCAACAAGCCUUUUAAGUUGAGACCUUACCCCAGUCUGCAUCUGUGUUGGAAUUGCUUUUAAAGUUAUUUUUAAAGGGUUUUUUUAAAUGUUUCUAAAGAUGUUUUGUUUUAAUAUAUUUUACAGUCUGUUUUUAUGAUGUUAUAGAGUGUUUUUAGUGUUUUUGUUUGCCGCCCUGGGCUCCUACUGGGAGGAAGGGUGGGAUAUAAAUUUAAUAAAUAAAUAAAAUAAUAAACCAA